RNAcentral lists this ribosomal RNA (254 nucleotides) under uncultured bacterium. RNAcentral's name for it is "partial 16S ribosomal RNA". It matches the Rfam family "Bacterial small subunit ribosomal RNA", at positions 524 to 776 of the family's 1533-position model. The record is from RNAcentral.
UACGAAGGGUGCUAGCGUUGUUCGGAAUCAUUGGGCGUAAAGCGUGCGUAGGCGGUUUGAUAAGUCAACUGUGAAAUCCCAGAGCUUAACUUUGGAAUUGCGGUUGAAACUGUCAUAACUAGAGUGUGGUAGGGGAUAGUGGAAUUCCUAGUGUAGGGGUGAAAUCCGUAGAUAUUAGGAGGAACACCGGUGGCGAAAGCGACUAUCUGGGCCAUUACUGACGCUGAGGUACGAAAGCGUGGGGAGCAAACAGG